RNAcentral lists this transfer RNA (72 nucleotides) under Bos taurus (domestic cattle). It matches the Rfam family "tRNA". Rfam says of the family: Transfer RNA (tRNA) molecules are approximately 80 nucleotides in length. Their secondary structure includes four short double-helical elements and three loops (D, anti-codon, and T loops). Further hydrogen bonds mediate the characteristic L-shaped molecular structure. tRNAs have two regions of fundamental functional importance: the anti-codon, which is responsible for specific mRNA codon recognition, and the 3' end, to which the tRNAs corresponding amino acid is attached (by aminoacyl-tRNA synthetases). tRNAs cope with the degeneracy of the genetic code in two manners: having more than one tRNA (with a specific anti-codon) for a particular amino acid; and 'wobble' base-pairing, i.e. permitting non-standard base-pairing at the 3rd anti-codon position. Lineage: Eukaryota; Metazoa; Chordata; Mammalia; Artiodactyla; Bovidae. RNAcentral also lists the same sequence under 4 other names. The record is from Rfam by way of RNAcentral.
UCCCUGGUGGCUCAGAUGGUAAAGAAUCUGCCUGCAAUGCAGAAGACCCAGGUUCAGUCCUUGGGUUGGGAA